UACGGGGGGGGCAAGCGUUGUUCGGAAUUACUGGGCGUAAAGGGCUCGUAGGUGGCCAACUAAGUCAGACGUGAAAUCCCUCAGCUUAACUGGGGAACUGCGUCUGAUACUGGAUGGCUUGAGUUUGGGAGAGGGACGCGGAAUUCCAGGUGUAGCGGUGAAAUGCGCAGAUAUCAGGAGGAACACCGAUGGCGAAGGCAGGUCUCUGGGCUGUAACUGACGCUGAGGAGCGAAAGCAUGGGGAGCGAACAGG
Molecule: ribosomal RNA, 253 nt
Filed under: uncultured bacterium
Lineage: Bacteria
Description: partial 16S ribosomal RNA
Rfam family: Bacterial small subunit ribosomal RNA
Source: RNAcentral